Molecule: small nuclear RNA, 105 nt
Organism: Trichechus manatus latirostris (Florida manatee)
Lineage: Eukaryota; Metazoa; Chordata; Mammalia; Sirenia; Trichechidae
Source: RefSeq, a predicted model, not a curated record
AGUGCUCACUUCAGCCACACAUUACUAAAAUUGAAAUGAUAACAGAGAUUAGCAUGACCCCUGCACAAGGUUAACACGCAAAUUCGUGAAGCAGUCCAUAUUUUU